Molecule: ribosomal RNA, 440 nt
Filed under: uncultured bacterium
Lineage: Bacteria
Description: partial 16S ribosomal RNA
Rfam family: Bacterial small subunit ribosomal RNA
Source: RNAcentral
CCUACGGGUGGCAGCAGUGGGGGAUAUUGGUCAAUGGGGGAAACCCUGAUCCAGCGAUGCCGCGUGAGGGAAGAAGGUUUUCGGAUUGUUAACCUUCGUGGAGGGGGACGAUAAUGACGGUACCCCUUUAGGAAGCUACGGCUAACUACGUGCCAGCAGCCGCGGUAAUACGGAGGUGGCGAGCGUUAUCCGGAAUUACUGGGUGUAAAGGGAGUGUAGGCGGGAAAGCAAGUCAGAAGUGAAAACUAUGGGCUUAACCGUAAGCCUGCAUUUGACACUGUGUUUCUUGAGUGAAGUAGAGGCAAGCGGAAUUCGUAGUGUAGCGGUGAAAUGCGUAGAUAUUAGGAAGAACACCAGUGGCGAAGGCGGCUUGCUGGGCUUUUACUGACGCUGAGGCUCGAAAGCGUGGGGAGCAAACAGGAUUAGAUACCCCAGUAGUC